Molecule: ribosomal RNA, 423 nt
Filed under: uncultured bacterium
Lineage: Bacteria
Description: partial 16S ribosomal RNA
Rfam family: Bacterial small subunit ribosomal RNA
Source: RNAcentral
AUAUUGGACAAUGGGCGAAAGCCUGAUCCAGCCAUGCCGCGUGUGUGAAGAAGGUNUUNNGAUUGNANAGCACUUUAAGUUGGNNNNNAGGGCAGUAAGUUAAUACCUUGCUGUUUUGACGUUACCGACAGAAUAAGCACCGGCUAACUUCGUGCCAGCAGCCGCGGUAAUACGAAGGGUGCAAGCGUUAAUCGGAAUUACUGGGCGUAAAGCGCGCGUAGGUGGUUCGUUAAGUUGGAUGUGAAAGCCCCGGGCUCAACCUGGGAACUGCAUCCAAAACUGGCAAGCUAGAGUAUGGCAGAGGGUGGUGGAAUUUCCUGUGUAGCGGUGAAAUGCGUAGAUAUAGGAAGGAACACCAGUGGCGAAGGCGACCACCUGGGCUAAUACUGACACUGAGGUGCGAAAGCGUGGGGAGCAAACAGG